GCCGAUGUAGCUCAGAAGUAGAGCAAUGCUUUUGUAAAGCAUGGGUCGGGAUUGCGAUAUUCCCCAUCGGCU
RNAcentral lists this transfer RNA (72 nucleotides) under Candidatus Levyibacteriota bacterium. Its description in RNAcentral is "tRNA-Thr". It matches the Rfam family "tRNA". From Rfam's summary of the family: Transfer RNA (tRNA) molecules are approximately 80 nucleotides in length. Their secondary structure includes four short double-helical elements and three loops (D, anti-codon, and T loops). Further hydrogen bonds mediate the characteristic L-shaped molecular structure. tRNAs have two regions of fundamental functional importance: the anti-codon, which is responsible for specific mRNA codon recognition, and the 3' end, to which the tRNAs corresponding amino acid is attached (by aminoacyl-tRNA synthetases). tRNAs cope with the degeneracy of the genetic code in two manners: having more than one tRNA (with a specific anti-codon) for a particular amino acid; and 'wobble' base-pairing, i.e. permitting non-standard base-pairing at the 3rd anti-codon position. Lineage: Bacteria; Candidatus Levyibacteriota. The record is from RNAcentral.